UGGCUCAGUGGUUAAGAGCACUGGCUAUUCUUCCAGAGUACUGGGUUCAAUUCCCAG
This 57-nucleotide transfer RNA is filed under the name Cricetulus griseus (Chinese hamster). Lineage: Eukaryota; Metazoa; Chordata; Mammalia; Rodentia; Cricetidae. The record is from Rfam by way of RNAcentral.